GAUGAACGCUGGCGGCGUGCCUAAUACAUGCAAGUCGAGCGAAUGGAUUAAGAGCUUGCUCUUAUGAAGUUAGCGGCGGACGGGUGAGUAACACGUGAGUAACCUGCCCAUAAGACUGGGAUAACUCCGGGAAACCGGGGCUAAUACCGGAUAACAUUUUGAACCGCAUGGUUCGAAAUUGAAAGGCGGCUUCGGCUGUCACUUAUGGAUGGACCCGCGUCGCAUUAGGUAGUUGGUGAGGUAACGGCUCACCAAGGCAACGAUGCGUAGCCGACCUGAGAGGGUGAUCGGCCACACUGGGACUGAGACACGGCCCAGACUCCUACGGGAGGCAGCAGUAGGGAACCUUCCGCAAUGGACGAAAGUCUGACGGAGCAACGCCGCGUGAGUGAUGAAGGCUUUCGGGUCGUAAAACUCUGUUGUUAGGGAAGAACAAGCGCUAGUUGAAUAAGCUGGCACCUUGACGGUACCUAACCAGAAAGCCACGGCUAACUACGUGCCAGCCGCCGCGGUAA
This 515-nucleotide ribosomal RNA is filed under the name uncultured bacterium. RNAcentral describes it as "partial 16S ribosomal RNA". It matches the Rfam family "Bacterial small subunit ribosomal RNA", at positions 28 to 523 of the family's 1533-position model. The record is from RNAcentral.